RNAcentral lists this ribosomal RNA (301 nucleotides) under uncultured bacterium. Its description in RNAcentral is "partial 16S ribosomal RNA". It matches the Rfam family "Bacterial small subunit ribosomal RNA", at positions 509 to 807 of the family's 1533-position model. The record is from RNAcentral.
CAGUCGCCGCGGUAAUACGUAGGUGGCAAGCGUUGUCCGGAAUUAUUGGGCGUAAAGGGCUCGCAGGCGGUUUCUUAAGUCUGAUGUGAAAGCCCCCGGCUCAACCGGGGAGGGUCAUUGGAAACUGGGAAACUUGAGUGCAGAAGAGGAGAGUGGAAUUCCACGUGUAGCGGUGAAAUGCGUAGAGAUGUGGAGGAACACCAGUGGCGAAGGCGACUCUCUGGUCUGUAACUGACGCUGAGAGACGAAAGCUAGGGGAGCAAAUGGGAUUAGAUACCCCUGUAGUCCCUGUCUCUUAUAC